This 263-nucleotide unclassified non-coding RNA is filed under the name plant metagenome. RNAcentral's name for it is "partial contains small subunit ribosomal RNA, internal transcribed spacer 1, and 5.8S ribosomal RNA". The record is from RNAcentral.
UUUCCGUAGGUGAACCUGCGGAAGGAUCAUUAUUGUAUAACAGAGGUGCGAGGGCUGUCGCUGACCCGAAAGGUCGUGCACGCCCGAGUGCCCUCACACACAUCCAUCUCACCCCUAUGUGCACCACCGCGUGGGUCCCCCUUUGGCGUGUUCGGAGGGGGGCUUACGUUUUCACACAAACUUUGUAUGCAGUGUAGAAUGUAUUUUUUGUUUUUGCGAUCACGCAAUCAAUACAACUUUCAACAACGGAUCUCUUGGCUCUC